RNAcentral lists this ribosomal RNA (500 nucleotides) under uncultured bacterium. Its description in RNAcentral is "partial 16S ribosomal RNA". It matches the Rfam family "Bacterial small subunit ribosomal RNA", at positions 29 to 523 of the family's 1533-position model. The record is from RNAcentral.
AUUGAACGCUGGCGGCAUGCCUUACACAUGCAAGUCGAACGGCAGCACGGGAGCAAUCCUGGUGGCGAGUGGCGAACGGGUGAGUAAAGUAUCGGAACGUGCCCAGUCGUGGGGGAUAACGUAGCGAAAGUUACGCUAAUACCGCAUACGAUCUAUGGAUGAAAGCGGGGGAUCGCAAGACCUCGCGCGAUUGGAGCGGCCGAUAUCAGAUUAGGUAGUUGGUGGGGUAAAGGCUCACCAAGCCGACGAUCAGUAGCUGGGCUGAGAGGAAGAGCAGCCACACUGGGACUGAGACACGGCCCAGACUCCUACGGGAGGCAGCAGUGGGGAAUUCUGGACAAUGGGCGAAAGCCUGAUCCAGCCAUGCCGCGUGCAGGAUGAAGGCCUUCGGGUUGUAAACUGCUUUUGUACGGAACGAAAAGGUUUGGCCUAAUAAGCUGAGCUCAUGACGGUACCGUAAGAAUAAGCACCGGCUAACUACGUGCCAGCCGCCGCCGUAA